GAUGAACGCUAGCUACAGGCUUAACACAUGCAAGUCGAGGGGAAACGACAUCGAAAGCUUGCUUUUGAUGGGCGUCGACCGGCGCACGGGUGAGUAACGCGUAUCCAACCUGCCCAUCACUUGGGAAUAACCUUGCGAAAGUAAGACUAAUACCCAAUGAUAUCCCACGAAGGCAUCGGAAUGGGAUUAAAGAUUUAUCGGUGAUGGAUGGGGAUGCGUCUGAUUAGCUUGUUGGCGGGGUAACGGCCCACCAAGGCAACGAUCAGUAGGGGUUCUGAGAGGAAGGCCCCCCACAUUGGAACUGAGACCCGGCCCAAACUCCUACGGGAGGCGGAAGGGGGGAAUAUUGGUCAAGGGGCGAGGGCCUGAACCAGCCAAGCAGGGUGCAGGAAGACGGCCCUAUGGGUUGUAAACUGCUUUUAUAAGGGAAUAAAGUGGGUCACGUGUGACUUUUUGCAUGUACCUUAUGAAUAAGGACCGGCUAAUUCCGU
This 491-nucleotide ribosomal RNA is filed under the name uncultured bacterium. RNAcentral describes it as "partial 16S ribosomal RNA". It matches the Rfam family "Bacterial small subunit ribosomal RNA", at positions 28 to 506 of the family's 1533-position model. The record is from RNAcentral.